UCUAUUUCCCGUGACUUUGCCGAGCUGGUACGAGCGCCCUCUACGCAAACGCCAUAACGGCAAAUUGAAGCCGAACGAAGCUUCCGUCCCUGCUGUCAGUCCUACACUCCCAUUUACAAGUAGGACUGUGUUGUUAACCUUCAGAGAAGACAGGAGAAAGCAGUGGCGGUUACAAAAGGCCCAGAAAGCUAGAAUCAAAAAGAUAGCAGGAAGAAUGGACCACGAGGACUCUUCAAUGAUGGUGAUCUAUAAAGUCUGUGCAAUGUUUGUUUUCUUGCCUAAGGACAACAUGACCUACAUGUGCAACAAGUGCAACCUAGUAGCCUGUUAAAAGGAAAGGUGAGAGCACUAGAGCAGCGAGUAUCUAUCCUCAAGUUAAUAAAAGAAGAUGCAGAGUUUUUAGAUAGAGCAGUGGAACUGUAAUAGCUAAGAGUAGUACAGAAGCUAGAAGUGCAACAGCAAACUGAGGUAGAAGAAGAGAAAAUCCUUAGGAAAUGGAAAAUGAGAAGAAAACUCCCUGGAAAAGGGUGACAGGUACAGAAAAACUAGAAGAACUAGAACAUGCUCUGCACCAGUGGAAGCAGUGGAACUAUGAAAUUGCUUUCAGUUACUUGAGGAUGUGAGUAGAGAGCAGCCUGCAGUGGAAGAACUAGAAGUCAUCUCAUGCACCAUUGAACAAGAGGCUACAGGUGAACCAAAUACUGGCAAAGAUAUUGUAGGACAUACCUGGCUAGUGAGCAUGAGGCAUGGGCUGGCUGAUCAUGUCCCAAGGAUCUACACAACAAUAUAGAACCUCCAACAUAGCUACACAACAACAAGAAUCACCGACAGCCAGAGACUGAGGAAUUUCCUGCCAAAAACCCUUCAUCACAGCCUUAAGGUGACCCAGCCUCCCACAUGGUGCAUGUGGAAACCAUAUGGAUUCAAAUGUGCCAGUCAGGAGUCCUACAAUACCAAGGCUUGCAAGAACAAGAAGAGAAGAGUGUUUGGUUGUGGGAGACUCCCUGUUGUGUGGGAUGGAAACACACAUAUGACACAAAGACCCAUAGACUCAUUAAGUAUGCUGUUUUCCUGGAAGAUGAAUUAGUGAUAUAACUAACUCAUAAAGCCCACUUACAUGUGUCCCUUCUAUGCUGGAACAAAUGACACUGGCAAGCUUUGGGGAGGAAAGUCAAGAAUUUUUGGAUAUAUCAAUAAUUUAAGAUAUGCAGAUGACAUGAUAAUACUGGCUGAAAGCAGCAAUAAUGACUACAGAAGAAAUAUACAACUUUAAUUUCAACAAUGAAGUCAUUGAAAUUGUGAAAGAUUUUGCAUACUUUGGCUCAAUCUUCAAUUCAAAGCAAGGCUGCAGCCAGAAAAUUAGAAGAUGACUGAGACUUGGAAGAGUAGCAGUGAAGGAAUUGGAGAAAAUGAUCAGGUGUAAGGACACUUUACCAGAGACCAAAGCCAAGGUCAUUUGCAUUAUUGUAUUCCUGAUCACUAUGUAUCCCUGUGAAAGCUGACAAGAAGAAAAUUGAUAUGUGCUGGAAGAAAGCUGUGUGAAUAUCCUGGACCGACAGAAAGACAAACACGUGGAAUAUAUAAAAUGAAGUCAGAAUUUGCAACAAGUUCUACUCUGUGUGGAUGUUUAGAUUUCUGUGUGUGAACCACACACAAGGAAGAAUUCAGCAAAUUGCCCACAAAACCACAGGAGAUGAUGUGCAUCUGUUAAAUCAAACCAAAGCAACUUUGAAAACUCCCUUUCAGCAAAAAAUACCGACACCUAUGUCCCUGUUGUAGUCAAUGUAGUUGGCGUCCAAGGCUUGAGUUCAACGCAAAGCAUGAUGUCAGUCUCAGCUGACAUAAUCCAACAUCACACCCACACAACAUCCCAUUUUGCCACCAUCGCCACCAUAGAGAAGGCUCUAAAACUCAGUCUCACAUGUUCGGGUUCAGCACAGUUUUUCUCUGUUGUGGGAAGCCUCUUAGGAGCCUUCACCAUGUCUCUGUAUAUACCUGGCAAAACAGCCACACUCAACAGGAAACAUUCCAGGAUUUCCAGGUCCAUCAGAAUCCAAAUUGCUGAUCUUAACUAGUCCCCCUACUCUUGCACAAAGGUGGCAGGUUUAGUGCCUUCCUUAUUCGUGUGUGUGCUUAACAAGUCUAAUAAUCAUAAUACAGGAGAUUUACAUUUAUGAAUGUUGAGGAAUGGUGUGUUGAUUUCCCUUGCUUUAGCUCAGGGGGGCUAAUUGAUCUACAGGAUGUGUCACAGGAAUAUUUCCAGCAACUGACUUUGCACAAUCAUCAGCCUGCAAUGUGGUUUAAAUAAGUCUCAGUGGCAUGGAGUGUAUUGGGAACGUAAGAGAUCUUGUUAGAAACCAGUUAUUGUUCUGCCAUGACUUAUUUGCCCACUAGAGAUCAGGAUUGUACAGCCAAGGUUCUCUAUUUUGUUUUUCAGUGACUGUUUUAACAUACAGCUAGAAAGGAAUAGCUGAAUCAGGACUUUGCUUCAUCUUGCCACAAGCAGAUCUCUUUCCCACCUUUCCUACUUGUGACCCUUUAAUUGGAAAUGCCAUGAAUCUGGGAUUAUAUGCAAGCAAACUCUUUUCCACUGAAGUGCUCUGUAGUCUUUGGGACUGGGUAUUUAUACUUUAUUUGUGUAUUGCAUUUCCGUUCUGUGUCUUUCUCCUAAUGAUCCCCAUUGUGGCAUUGUGGGAGCAGCUAUGGACAAGUAGUAAAGGAACAGUAGUGAUGUUCACGCUAACUUUAAUUAGUACAGUGCAGAUGAAAUCAUUGGCAAACCACCUCUGAAUAUUUCUUACUUUUUAAAACUUGUAAUCAAACAAUCCAAAUUAAAACAGGAGGUAGUGCCAGAGACUCCCUACUCAGAAGGCAUCCAAUCAGCUACUGAGAACAAGGGACAAAUACAAAUAGUGCUGUCACUAAUGAUGCAUCUAGAUCAAAACUGAAUGGAAGUCUAGUGGCCGACAUGCAGAGAAAUGCAAACAAAGUCUGAUGUUGCAAGCACAUACAGUUGGAUAUGGAACUUGAGAAGUAUGAAUUGAGGCAAAUGGGGACCUUAAAGCAAGAAUAGGUACAAAUUAGGGCUUUUUCCAAAUUGCAACAGAGCAACAGCCUCUCUGUUGAGCUCCCUCUGAUACCUUAUCAAUAUUAUCAGUUUUAGUUUAUUAUCCACUUACUCAUUUUAAUUCUUACUAAUUUUUAUGUAGUAGUGUUUUAAAAUCAAGCCUCCUACAAAAGACACUGCAUCUUGAAUCUGUAAGUUCCUGGAAAUAUUAUACAAGCCACUGUUGCAAUGGUGAGGAACAAGAACAACAAACGCAGCAGGACUAGCCCUGGUUUAUCUACUCUGCCCAAGCCAAGUAAACAACCAAACAUUGAAGCGUAUGUGACGCCCGGGAAAACUGUAAGUAAUAAGAACAAGAUAAAUCUCCUUUAUUCUGUUUCUACUUCUAACAGCUGCGAUUUACUAAACUGGGUCUUGGAAUCAGAAAUUGAGAAAAAAACAUUAUUAGACUUGUCCUCCACUCUGCAGAAGGUGUCUAUUCACUUGAACUAGCCUUUGCCUAUGUUACCCUCUCCUGAUGUUUAUACCUUUUUGGGGUGGGAAGAACAAAACAAUCAACCAUCCAAGGAAUUUACAACAGGCUUUGCUGCCAAACUAUGUCUAUUAACUGCCCAAACUCUGAUUUCAAUCUUCCAGCAGUUAACUCAAAUAAAUACAAAGGUGAAUUCUUUAAAAACAGCUUUUGAAACCUUUGUGCAGGGCUUUGUAGACAAGCUGGCAGCUUCUGAAACAGCCUUUAAUUUUGGCACCAAUUCGGACCUGCCCACAGAUAGUCUAAGGAAGCAAAACUGUUUAGAAGAACUCCCUAAGUCCAGAAAGGAUACAUGAUCAGAGGCACUGCAUGCAGUUCCAUCUUCUGCCAAGGAGUUAAGUAAAAUAUGUACAACCGUGUUCUUAAAACACAUCAGGUUGCACUAAGAAGUACACCCAACAGAUUUAAUAUUGAGUGCUGGUCCACCAGAAGAGCUAUUAUUCUAUCUCUUCUCUGAUGCCAAAGUUAGACGAUUGAUUUAAGUGCUGUGAAAUGGCUCCCUAGCAUGAGAGGCCACAAAUGCAUUUUAUCAUCUUUUAAUCAUUCCCGGUAUGCUGUUUAAAAUAAAACAUUUUCUUUCUACCUUUCAAAUAUAUCCAUUAAGAGUCUUCCACGAUGAAAAAAGAAGCAUCCUUUCUGGCAUAUCUCCCCAAGCAGACACUCUCCUGCCUUAUGCCACAGAUAAGGAGCCAAAUGAUAAAAACCAUAGUAACCCAGCACCUUCAGCAACCUUGACUAGACUUUGUCAGAAUAAUCAUGCUGAACUUACAUGAGAAAGAUCUGGCACUGAUGAUGCCUUGGAAUCAGGUCUAAUUACCUCCUUUGAAGCUCUACCAAAUGAAGAGUAAGAUGACAUACUGAGAAGGUUGGACGAACGGAAACAAACACCGCUGCUGACUCAAGCAGCAGCAAAGCCCUUAAUUCAUUUAAUAUCUUUGGACUAUCAGCUUGACAGUAAUCCUGAAGAAAAUCAAUACAAACCUUCUGAAUUGUCUAACCAAACAUCCUUGCUAGAAAACAACUCAAAGUCACUUGGUCCAUCUUCAUCACCUGAGAAUUGUCCUGACACUACUUCACUUCCGACUCCUCUUAUUCCAUUGAGGGCAAAUACAAGACACUCAGAAGUCACUUCCUCCACUUCUACUCAAGGGAAGGCAGGUUGGAAAACACCUGUCCUCAUUUCUGCAGCCAAUGCCAGUGUGGUGGAGGGCCCCCCAAAGUAUGGUUCCUCUUUUAGGGUCUCUGAUGAGGUCCAAAAUAAGAUGUCAAAUGCCGAUUGACAACAUGAGUUCCUCUCUUGGAACCUGGGGGGUUGGCUCAAUAAGCUUUACGAUUCCGAUUUUAUAAGAUUUAUCCAUGGCUUUGAUAUAUUAUGCCUUCAAGAAACAUGGCUCAUGAACCCUGACUCUUUGGAUAUUCAGGGGUUCAGGACUUAUUUUGUCCCUGCAACCAAAACUCACUCAAAGGGUCAAGGAAGUGGAGGCAUGGCUACAUUGGUAUCAGUGGACCUAAACAUUGACAUCUAGGUUGUAGAGAACAACUGUCCCAGUAAUUUCCAGACCCUACUCCUUGAAGGUGAUUAUUUUAGAAGUUUACUAUGUGUAAAUGUCUACAUUCCACCCAUGAGCUCACCUUUUUCAAGUAGGGCCUGCAUCUGGGACAUGUUAACUGAUAUGCUAGACUCGUUAAUAUCUCAUUUCCCGUACGAACAUGUUAUUCUAUGUGGGGAUUUUAAGGCGAGAAUAGGAGCAGGCAUCUUUGAGGAAGGAAAUGACCUGAAUGCUCAGCAUGCUAGGCAUGCCCAAUUUCUAGAUCAAUCUUCAAAGGAUUCAAUAGUGAACAAGUAUGGGUUAAAUCUUUUUGAGCUCCUUUCCAUGUCUAAUCUCCAUAUACUCUGUGGCACCUCUUUUGAUAUAACUGGUGGCACCUAUACUCACCCUGGGACUGGCAGGACCAGCACUGUAGUUUAUAUAGCUAUUACUCCCACCUUACUGAAUCUGGUGGUUAAAUUCAAAGUUUUAGACCUUACUUUGAGCGAUCACUGCCCACAACACUUGUCCCUUAAAGUUAAUUCCAAUGUCAUGAUGAACCGCUUAUGGAUUUUGAAGAGGAUCUCACUCCUAAUGUUAGGAGACUUAAAUGGUCUAACAGAAUACAUUCUGUUUUAGCUGAUACUCUGUCGAGCCAGGAAUUGAGCUGCUUGAGAGACUCUUGCAACACAAUUCCGAUGUUACACAAUUCUUCAGUGAGAUUAACAACCAUCUUAAGCGUCUUAUAAACAAUAGACCAAAAAAGCAGCCCAUGCUCAAGAUGGCUGGUUCAAUCAUGACUGUAAAAUCUUUAAAAAAGAACUUAUCUCGUGUCACAACACAUGAGACAAGUUAGGUACGGUAGGGAAGGUGGGUUGUCUAAUCUUUUAUUACUUAGGUCCCACUAUAAAAACUUAAUUAAGCAAAAGAAACUGGAACAUGCUAAGUUUCUUUGGCAAGAGCUAGACUGAGCAGUUUCCAAAAAAAGAGAUUCACAAUUUUGGGAACUGGUCGCUAACCAUAAGAAUAGUCCUUAUUGCCAGGUCGAUUCAUACCGACCAGGCCAUGUUUGGUUUUCUUAUUUCAGUACUGUUUUUGGGUCUCAACAGCCACAGGAAGCAUUUUCCUUCCCAGGGAGACACUGGAAUGGCUGCCUGUUUCAGCUGCUGAAAUCAGCAAUCUAAUUGCCUCUCUGAAACGUGGCAAAUCCCCUGGAGAGGAUAUGCUUCCACCAGAUUUAUUUAAAGCCUUCCCAGAAUGGUGGGCUCCAAUCUGGCCAGAGUGUUCUUCUUGGUUAAUGAAACAGGCCAGAUCUCACCCGGCUGGAAGCCUUGUUUCCAAGCCACGUAUACAGCCUUACUAACUGGUCGUUAUUCCCAUAUUCCAAUGGAGCAGCGUGUCUGCAUCUGUGAAUCACCUAAAAUAGAGGACCUCUUGCACUCUAUUCUUCACUGUUCAUUAUAUUGUGAACCUAGGGGGGAAAAUUGUCUAGUGCACUACCCACCUUCAAUGCCUACUCUGAUCCUGAGAAGUUAGUGUUUUUGUUGUCAGAUAUUGUUGUGCACGUGUCUUACUGAGUCUCUCUUUUUGCUCUUGCAGCUAAAAAAGGUAAGAGCUGUCCUGAAUCACACCUGGUCUGUCUUUUUAGUAUUAUGUUUUAAUAUGUUUUAUUUAUGGUUUUAUUUGUGAAUUCAAUGUUUUAGCUUGUUGAGUUGUAAUGGCCUAUGGCUAAAUGCAAUAAACUAAUUGACUGACUAACUGAGGUACAAAAUAAAGUGGACUGCAAUGAAACACUUUCAGUUAGACAAACAAAGUGUUUCACUCUCAGAAUGACAGACUUGGAAGAAACAGAGUAGCUCUAACACUGAAAACAAGAUACAGCCCAACUAGGAAGGGGAUAUCAUACGAAGUCCAAUGAAUUCUUUAAAACCCUACCCAUCCAACAACAGAUUCUAAAGAAGGAAGAAACUUCUAUUCAGGUGUUAAAAGAAUAAAAAUAACACACCAAAACAAGACACACUGAUAAUCAUAGGUGACUGGAAUGCAAAAAUAGGAAAUAAAGUAGAAUCAAAUGUCGAGAGAGAAUUUGGCUUAGAAUAAAGCAGAAGAAUGACUCAGAAUUGCAUCAAGGCAGCCAUCUGUUUAUUGCAAACAUGUACUUGAGGCAAUCAAUUAGGUGGCCAAUAAAUAUACUAUGCAACUGAAAGCAAGAGCUGGCAAAGUUGUAUUUUUUCUGUAAAACUCAAGACCUUACAUGACCUAUGUCCAGAUCUAGCAAUUGUUGUUAGUCACAAAGUCGUGUCCGACCCAUUGCGACCCCACAGAAAACACCCCUCCAGGCUUUCCUGUCCUCCACCAUCUCCCA
Molecule: long non-coding RNA, 7493 nt
Organism: Varanus komodoensis (Komodo dragon)
Lineage: Eukaryota; Metazoa; Chordata; Lepidosauria; Squamata; Varanidae
Exons: 3
Source: RefSeq, a predicted model, not a curated record